Molecule: ribosomal RNA, 465 nt
Filed under: uncultured bacterium
Lineage: Bacteria
Description: partial 16S ribosomal RNA
Rfam family: Bacterial small subunit ribosomal RNA
Source: RNAcentral
GACGAACGCUGGCGGCGUGCUUAACACAUGCAAGUCGAACGGAAAGGCCUCUUUGGGGGUACUCGAGUGGCGAACGGGUGAGUAACACGUGAGUAACCUGCCCUUGACUUCGGGAUAACUUCAGGAAACUGGGGCUAAUACCGGAUAGGAAUCCUUGCUGCAUGGCGGGGGUUGGAACGCUUCGGCGGUUUUGGAUGGACUCGCGGGUUAUCAGCUUGUUGGUGGGGUAGUGGCUUACCAAGGCUUUGACGGGUAGCCGGCCUGAGAGGGCGCCCGGCCACAUUGGGACUGAGAGACGGCCCGGACUCCUACGGGAGGCAGCAGUGGGGAAUAUUGCACAAGGGGCGGGAGCAUGAUGCAGCAACGCCGCGUGCGUGAUGACGGCCUUCGGGUUGGAAACCGCUUUCAGCAGGGGCGAAGCUUGUGGUGACGGUACCUGCAGAAGAAGCACCGGCUAACUACGUG